GGCAAGAUGGCCGAGUUGGUCUAUGGCGGUAGACUCAAGCGAACAGCUUACCUGUGUUCCACUCAGGAUUCUACUCUCGAAAGAGGCAGGGGUUCGAAUCCCCUUCUUGUCA
Non-coding RNA from Nemania sp. FL0031, 112 nucleotides. Lineage: Eukaryota; Fungi; Ascomycota; Sordariomycetes; Xylariales; Xylariaceae. The record is from the annotation of a GenBank genome assembly.